Long non-coding RNA from Mus musculus (house mouse), 597 nucleotides. RefSeq annotates it as predicted gene, 35632. The record is from RefSeq and is a predicted model, not a curated record. The transcript has 4 exons. Lineage: Eukaryota; Metazoa; Chordata; Mammalia; Rodentia; Muridae.
AGUAGGUGCUCUGCUCAGGGAACAGCUGUGAAACAGAUUACUCAACUGCAAUUACUGAUCAGCAGCACAUUUGAAGAUUUAGGAAAAAAAGUUAGAACCAAGCAGGCAAACAUACUAUUUAUUUAUUCAGUGAAUCAACACAGAGGCAAAACCUUGGAAAUCCUCAGGAAGAUGGUCACCACCAAUGAAACCAAUGAAGUCAAAUGGACAAUUUCACUCACAUCUUUCCAAAUGCACAAUUUUCAAAGAAUUGAAAGUUUCUUCUGCUGAGGUAAAUCCACAAAGUGUGAAAAGUUGCUUUCAACAGCUCAACUUCAGGCAGAAAAAAAAAUCUCUCUAGAAAACAUCCAACUCUUUUUCUCUGGUUCAAACAUGAGCCAAGUAGCAAGUAAAGAUGAUUUGUUCCCAUCCCUGUUACAUGAUGGAAAUGGAAAGUGAGCAGAAACCUUCAUACAGAGGACAAGAAGUCUUCACCAACUUUUGUCAAGAUGGCUACAUUUUCAGAGUUCAAAGUUUUAUAUUAAAAUAUAUAAUUAAAACUUCGAAAAUAUUAAGAUCAGAGUGUAAACAAAAUGUCUCCUUCUGUAGAAUAAAAAU